GACGAACGCUGGCGGCGUGCUUAACACAUGCAAGUCGAACGGAAAGGCCCUGCUUUUGUGGGGUGCUCGAGUGGCGAACGGGUGAGUAACACGUGAGUAACCUGCCCUUGACUUUGGGAUAACUUCAGGAAACUGGGGCUAAUACCGGAUAGGAGCUCCUGCUGCAUGGUGGGGGUUGGAAAGUUUCGGCGGUUGGGGAUGGACUCGCGGCUUAUCAGCUUGUUGGUGGGGUAGUGGCUUACCAAGGCUUUGACGGGUAGCCGGCCUGAGAGGGUGACCGGCCACAUUGGGACUGGGAUCCGGCCCAGACUCCUACGGGAGGAAGAGGUGGGGAAUAUUGCACAAUGGGCGGAAGCCGGAUGCAGCAACGCCGGGUGCGGGAUGACGGCCUUCGGGUUGUAAACCGCUUUCGCCUGUGACGAAGCGUGAGUGACGGUAAUGGGUAAAGAAGCACCGGCAAACUACGU
Molecule: ribosomal RNA, 467 nt
Filed under: uncultured bacterium
Lineage: Bacteria
Description: partial 16S ribosomal RNA
Rfam family: Bacterial small subunit ribosomal RNA
Source: RNAcentral